RNAcentral lists this microRNA (21 nucleotides) under Taeniopygia guttata (zebra finch). RNAcentral's name for it is "Tgu-Mir-2131_3p (mature (co-guide))". The record is from RNAcentral. Lineage: Eukaryota; Metazoa; Chordata; Aves; Passeriformes; Estrildidae.
CUGUUACUGUUUUUCUGAUGG